Molecule: ribosomal RNA, 423 nt
Filed under: uncultured Nannocystis sp.
Lineage: Bacteria; Pseudomonadati; Myxococcota; Nannocystales; Nannocystaceae
Description: bacterial SSU rRNA
Rfam family: Bacterial small subunit ribosomal RNA
Source: RNAcentral
AGUGGGGAAUAUUGCGCAAUGGGCGAAAGCCUGACGCAGCCACGCCGCGUGAGCGAUGAAGGUCUUCGGAUCGUAAAGCUCUGUGGGGAGAGACGAAGAAAGCCCAUGAAGAGUGGGCCUUGACGGUAUCUCCUUAGCAAGCACCGGCUAACUCCGUGCCAGCAGCCGCGGUAAUACGGAGGGUGCAAACGUUGCUCGGAAUCAUUGGGCGUAAAGCGCACGUAGGCGGCGGCAUAAGCGGAAUGUGAAAGCCCAGGGCUCAACCCUGGAAGUGCAUCCCGAACUGUGUCGCUUGAAUCUCGGAGGGGGACAGAGAAUUCCCGGUGUAGAGGUGAAAUUCGUAGAUAUCGGGAGGAAUACCAGUGGCGAAGGCGCUGUCCUGGACGAAGAUUGACGCUGAGGUGCGAAAGCGCGGGGAGCAAA